AGAAUCAACGCUGGCGGCGUGCCUAACACAUGCAAGUCGCACGAGAAAGGGGAGCAAUUCCUGAGUAAAGUGGCGCACGGGUGAGUAACACGUGAAUAAUCUACCUCCGAGUGGGGAAUAACUGAGAGAAAUCUUAGCUAAUACCGCAUAACACUUACGAGUCAAAGCAGCAAUGCGCUUGGAGAGGAGUUCGCGGCCGAUUAGUUAGUUGGCGGGGUAAUGGCCCACCAAGACGAUGAUCGGUA
Molecule: ribosomal RNA, 245 nt
Filed under: uncultured bacterium
Lineage: Bacteria
Description: partial small subunit ribosomal RNA
Rfam family: Bacterial small subunit ribosomal RNA
Source: RNAcentral